AACGUAGGAGACGAACGUUAUCCGGAGUUACUGGGCGUAAAGGGCGUGCAGGCGGUCUGAUAAGUUCGGCGUGAAAUAUUCCGGCUUAACCGGGAUAGGUCGUCGGAGACUGUCGGACUAGAGGGUGAUAGAGGCGUGUGGAAUUCCGGGUGUAGUGGUGAAAUGCGUAGAGAUCCGGAGGAACACCAGUGGCGAAGGCGACACGCUGGGUCACACCUGACGCUAAAGCGCGACAGCAUGGGGAGCGAACGGG
RNAcentral lists this ribosomal RNA (253 nucleotides) under uncultured bacterium. RNAcentral's name for it is "partial 16S ribosomal RNA". It matches the Rfam family "Bacterial small subunit ribosomal RNA", at positions 524 to 776 of the family's 1533-position model. The record is from RNAcentral.